This 812-nucleotide ribosomal RNA is filed under the name uncultured bacterium. RNAcentral describes it as "bacterial SSU rRNA". It matches the Rfam family "Bacterial small subunit ribosomal RNA", at positions 8 to 818 of the family's 1533-position model. The record is from RNAcentral.
AGAGUUUGAUCAUGGCUCAGGAUUAACGCUAGCGGCAGGCCUAAUACAUGCAAGUCGAGGGGUAACAGGGUAGCAAUAUCGCUGACGACCGGCGCACGGGUGAGUAACACGUAUGCAACCUACCUAUAACUGGGGAAUAGCCUUCCGAAAGGAAGAUUAACACCGCAUAAUAUCACGAGACGGCAUCGUUUUGUGAUCAAACCUCCGGGGGUUAUAGAUGGGCAUGCGAAACAUUAGCUAGUUGGUGAGGUAACGGCUCACCAAGGCGACGAUGUUUAGGGGGUCUGAGAGGAUGAUCCCCCACACUGGUACUGAGACACGGACCAGACUCCUACGGGAGGCAGCAGUAAGGAAUAUUGGACAAUGGGGGCAACCCUGAUCCAGCCAUGCCGCGUGAAGGAUGAAGGCGCUCUGCGUCGUAAACUUCUUUUACUCGAGAAAAAUUGUUGGGUUUCUACCUGACUUGACUGUACCGAGAGAAUAAGGACCGGCUAACUUCGUGCCAGCAGCCGCGGUAAUACGAAGGGUCCAAGCGUUAUCCGGAUUUAUUGGGUUUAAAGGGUGCGUAGGCGGGUUGUUAAGUCAGUGGUGAAAUCUUGCAGCUUAACUGUAAAAUUGCCAUUGAUACUGACGAUCUUGAGUACACUUGAAGUGGGCGGAAUAUGUCAUGUAGAGGUGAAAUUCUUAGAGAUGACAUAGAACACCGAUUGCGAAGGCAGCUCACUAAAUUGUAACUGACGCUGAGGCACGAAAGCGUGGGGAUCAACAGGAUUAGAUACCCUGGUAGUCCACGCCCUAAACGAUGAUUACUA